CAGACAUUGUGGUUCAAUGCCGCCAUAUCGCACCCUGGCAUAUAAAUAACCGGUGUGCAACAUGAAGGAACAAGCCCAAAUAAAUCCUUUGGAUAGAAAAAGCAAGCUGAUUUGGGGAAGGCAGCUGCUUCAAAGUUUCUGUGCAACUUUACAGAAGAGCAGGACCUGCCCCAAUGCUUCUAUUAUCCUGAAGGUCACAGGGCUUCAGAUGAGCAAAGCUUUCCAAGUGGAUCUCCUUCUGGAAACACAGACCCAUCCCCAUUCCCAUGGCACUUCCAGAGAACUUGGUCACAGCACCGCCGUCACUUGGAGAAGCUCUUGGUCUGCUGUUCUUACAGUGCCUUGGAUAGUGCGGUCAGAAGGGGCAGGCGAUGGCACCAUGACCCCACUGCAGCCUGCCCAGACAUCCUGUAAUGAGUCUGUCAGUCUGUCCUCAGCCAAGAAAUGCAUCUUCACAUCCUAUGUGACGAAUUUGCUAGAAGGUGAAUGCAAUAUAACCCUUGGCAGAUUCUUCCUGGUAUAAAUGAGGUCUUAUUUUGAGGAAUCAUGAUUAAAUUGAAUCAAGAACAGUCACCUUUCUGAUUAUAAGCUGAAGGUAGUCUCUGAUUUAUUUCUCAUGAUGCAUUUGGUCAUGUUCUGUUGUCUUUGCAAAUCUGUAUUUUUAUCGCAGUGACAUGUUCCUCAGGUUUAGGUUACAUUUCUAAUAAAUAUCCGAUGCCUUGUUGAUUUCCUGUAUCA
Molecule: long non-coding RNA, 738 nt
Filed under: Numida meleagris (helmeted guineafowl)
Lineage: Eukaryota; Metazoa; Chordata; Aves; Galliformes; Numididae
Description: lncRNA (ENSNMEG00000015266.1)
Source: RNAcentral